Molecule: long non-coding RNA, 1176 nt
Organism: Felis catus (domestic cat)
Lineage: Eukaryota; Metazoa; Chordata; Mammalia; Carnivora; Felidae
Exons: 3
Source: RefSeq, a predicted model, not a curated record
GAAGUCAGACGCUCAACCGACUGAGCCAUCCAGGCGCCCCAAAGUGUUUUUAAUUAAACGAUGCAAAAGAACUAAGGCAAGAGCUCCUCACCAUGACAUUCAAGAUCUUUCACCUCUGGUCUCACACCCUUUGGAAAUUUCAUCUCUUUGCAGUCCUGUGCACACACAAAUCCAUGUGGGCCAGGCGGCCUCUCUGACUCGCAGCUGUGCUCAUUUCUUCAUUUGCUCACAUCCUCCCACCCCCCCAAUCUGCCUGUCGAACUUGCAUUGAUUCUUAAAGCUGGUAAACAGCACCACGGCGUAGCACAGAUCACAGACGCCAGGAGAAUUUGUCCGAGUAGUGAAGGUUCUUGUUGAUGACCAUCCGAGGAAGAAAUCACUCCUAGGACAAAGGCAUGAGAAGACAGAGAGAGAGGGAACAACAGGUCUAGAAGAGGAGAGCUGUGGAGAUCGGAACUGGCCUUGGAGGUUUCAACCAGGAACCUGGCAACAAUUCUGGGCACUCCCAAAUUAUUAUAAUUGUUAUUAUAGCUUGAGAACAAAUCCCACUUAGUUUCCUGAGAGCCUUUGUGUCUGGAAUCCACCAUGACACUGCUCUGUCCCCUGGCCUCAUGUAGAACAAUAGAAUGCGUCUUUGCCUUAACAAUGCUGUGCAUCCUGUGUGCUUUUGAAGACAGCUGGGAAGGAGAGGCAAAUGUGCAGAGGUAAGGAACCUUCUGGAAGAGAAGAAUAAAUAUUUGGAUAGCUUGUCUUUUUGAAGAUCAGUACUGAUAGAGCAUCUCCGAGGAAGUAAUACACUAUCUCAGAUGCCGCAGAGAACCCCCUACUCCCCCAGGAGAAAGUCUAAAAUGGGUAACCAAAGCUCAAACACCAAAAACUGAACUGUGUGGGGAGAGAGCGCCUCUAGACACAGAAUGUGGCUGAGGCUAAAAUCCUCUUCCCGAGCCACUGGGACCGUGCGUUGAGAAUCGGGGUCUUGCAUUAAGAACAGGCUACAGAAUUUUGCUACAGUUCAUUCAGGCUUAUGUUGCACUGAAAAGAGUUUCACACCAGGAACGCCUCCCCUCCAUCCCUUUCCACCUGGAGAAGUUCCUGCAGGAACUACAGAACACUGAGAGGCAGAGACCUGAGGGAACAGUGUUCUCAGGUGGGGGGAACAGAGCACACUAAUACCCA